AAUCAACGCUGGCGGCGUGCCUAACACAUGCAAGUCGAACGCGAAAGUUCCUUCGGGGAUGAGUAGAGUGGCGUCCGGGUGAGUAACGCGUGGGUAAUCUACCUUCGGGUGGGGAAUAACCCAGGGAAACUUGGGCUAAUACCGCAUAAUGCAGCGGCUCGACAUCGAGACAGUUGUUAAAGCAGCAAUGCGCCUGAAGAGGAGCCUGCGUCUGAUUAGCUUGUUGGUGAGGUAAUGGCUCACCAAGGCUACGAUCAGUAGCUGGUCUGAGAGGACGGCCAGCCACAAUGGCACUGAAACACGGGCCAUACUCCUACGGGAGGCAGCAGUGGGGAAUUUUGCGCAAUGGG
This 350-nucleotide ribosomal RNA is filed under the name uncultured Pseudomonadota bacterium. Its description in RNAcentral is "bacterial SSU rRNA". It matches the Rfam family "Bacterial small subunit ribosomal RNA", at positions 32 to 375 of the family's 1533-position model. Lineage: Bacteria; Pseudomonadati; Pseudomonadota. The record is from RNAcentral.